AUUGGCUUAGUGCUGUAUGACUCGCCGACCACCCGCAACCAGGAAGAGGAUCGCGGCAGAGACCGGAGCCGGUUACCAGAAGCCCCGGGGGAGUGAAGGAAGGUCAUCCCCAAUACUAUUCUCAAGAUCCCAUAAAGAACUGCAAUCAUGAGAUGGUGUGGGAUGUUCGACAUCCUAUAUUACCCUGUAUAUUCAGCAGGAUCCAUAUGGUGGUCACAGGUGCAAUGCCGACUUGUCUCCGGACCCAGAUGCGGAAGAAAAUCAGCCAACUGUGACUUGGCAUAAACAGGUUUAACAACCGGCAUCACAAGUAAGAAGAACCUGGAGCAAGGACACUCAAUUAUUUUCCAAGAGGCCAACUUUCUGCCAACCUCAAUUUAUAAUGUCCAGACAAUAAGACAUAAGUCUGAUUUCCUUCCUUUGCUGUGCAGUGAUCUGUGGACAGAAGACAUGAAGCCUCACCCGGAACCUCCUCUCUGAUUUUAUGAAAAAGGAACGCCAGCACGGUGUAGUUAAUAUUGAGAAAUAUAAUAGGGUUCUACAAUCACAGGUAAAAAAUAGGGUUCUACAAUAACCGGUAAAAAGGCAUUAAGCAUAAUGCAGCGUAAAAUAAGGGACUCCGGAAAAUUGAAGCAUACUGAACUGGUUAUGCUACAUAACUCUCUGUAAGUAGGAUCAAAAGAACACUUACUAAACAAAACCUUAUAAAAUGUGUUGCCUGCAGGCUGCAACUGUGUUUUCUCAGAAUUAUCAUACUAUUUCACAUACAUUAAUAUUACUUAGCUGCCAGAAUAAAGCCACCUAAAGAGGAUCUGUGGGCCCUCCAGACAUCUUUUCUCAGAACUCUGCUUUGUGCCAUUCUUCUGAUAUUCCUUCAGGAAAUAUGUAAAUGAUUGACAUCUGGGUGUUACCAUUCACAUUGUCAAUGGGACACGUUCCACAUUCUGUUACUGUCCA
Molecule: long non-coding RNA, 957 nt
Organism: Hyla sarda
Lineage: Eukaryota; Metazoa; Chordata; Amphibia; Anura; Hylidae
Exons: 3
Source: RefSeq, a predicted model, not a curated record